This 486-nucleotide ribosomal RNA is filed under the name uncultured bacterium. RNAcentral describes it as "partial 16S ribosomal RNA". It matches the Rfam family "Bacterial small subunit ribosomal RNA", at positions 28 to 507 of the family's 1533-position model. The record is from RNAcentral.
GACGAACGCUGGCGGCGUGCUUAACACAUGCAAGUCGAACGGGAUCCAAAGGCUUUUUGUUUUUGGUGAGAGUGGCGAACGGGUGAGUAACACGUGAGUAACCUGCCCCCUUCUUUUGGAUAACCGCAUGAAAGUGUGGCUAAUACAGGAUAUUCCAGGCUGGUCGCAUGAUUGGUUUGGGAAAUGGUUUGGUCUGGUGGGGGAUGGGCUCGCGGCCUAUCAGCUUGUUGGUGGGGUGAUGGCCUACCAAGGCGGUGACGGGUAGCCGGCCUGAGAGGGUGGGCGGUCACACUGGGACUGAGAUACGGCCCAGACUCCUACGGGAGGCAGCAGUGGGGGAUUUUGCACAAUGGGCGCAAGCCUGAUGCAGCGACGUCGCGUGAGGGAUGAAGGCCUUCGGGUUGUAAACCUCUUUCGCUGGGUUGAAAGGCCAUGCUUUGGGUGUGGUUGAUUUGAACUGGUAAAGAAGUACCGGCUAACUACGUG